CUCACUGCACAGGUCUUUUUUUGCUGUGUUGAUGUAUCCUAAAUGGAGUGGGGGGAGAGAAGUAAAGAAAAGUUGGAGCUGGUGAGAGACAGGGACACCAGGGACUGAGACAACACCAGGAAAACGACUGGAUCAGGAAUCACCAAGAGCUGAUGCCACCGGGGCUCAAAAUGGACAGGACAGUGACGAGGACCACAACAAUGCAGGAGCGGGAUCAAGAGCAAUGUAAGGAGGAGGUCACGGGGAAAGAAGAGCAAGAUGUAAAAUAUGAAUAUACUGAGCCAUAUGUUCCCUUCUGCUUCUGCGAGUGAAAGAAAGCGAACAGCUGCAGAUCCUGACAAGAGGAUGGAUGCAGAGCAGGGAAUGUCAGCUCUAUGGCCUGCUUUCAAUGGUGACCCAGAAGCACCUUCUUAACCCUGUCAGCAUUAAUUUAUGCCAAUUCCACCGCUGUGACAUGACGCCCCCCCUCGCUCCUAGGAAGAGUUUCCAGGACAUCAAAAGGCAGAAAAUCUCCUCUGACACUGCUGUCAUUCUUGCCAGAUCUGCUUGUGGUUCCCUUUAAAUGAAUUUGCCAGGGCAGAGAGCAGGGAACAGGCAGCAAUGCUUGCUACUGAAGAGAAUCAUCUUCUAUAAGAUUUUCAUUAGGCGCUUAAUUUUUUCCCUGGCAUCCCAAGGAGCUGUAGGGAUGCAGAGCAAUAUACUUUGACUUGAGAAGAUUUGCAGCUGGUCAAGGAGAUCUGGAAAGAAGCUGUCUUUUGCAGCCAUAGAUAUUUGCAGCAGAGUGAAGAGGGGUUUGCACUCCUGAGGAUACUAAUAUUGUGCAUUAUUGUGUAACAGGGGUGUAUAUUUCUUCCUGACCGCAGCUGAUGAUUAACUUUUUUGCCUUGAAACAUGGUGAUUCCUAAUCCUUAUUAGUUUUACUUUAGCUUGUGAUGGUUUUGUGUUUUUUGUUUUUGUUUUGUAUGUGGACACCAAUCCAUUACGAAGUGAACUAAGUCCAUUCACGUUGGCCACCAAACUGUAGCUUUUCUAACGUGCUGAGAUCUACAAUGAUUUGACUUCCCCAAGUUUAUUUGAGUUUUUUUAAUUAAAAGUCUUUGCCUUUGUGCUCUGAUUCUACUGAAUACGAAAAAAGGCUCUGGGGGCUUGAUUCUUAUUUACAUGAAGGGCCCUAUACAACAUUCUGGCAGUAUAAAAGAGACCUUAGAGCAAAUGAGAAUCGGGGUCUUUGUAUUUAUGAAUUUUUUUAGCGAGCCUUUAUUUGUCUGAACUGAGAAAUUGUUGUUGAAACAAAGGAGUUGCUGCACUCAUUGGAAGUGAUUAUAUUCAGAUUUUAGUACCACAGAGAUCUCCACCUCACUGAGGCCCAAAUAGAUUUCAAAAUAUGCAACAAGAGCCCAAACAAGGAACACAACAAAAAAUAGAGACCAAAGCUUCUAUGAUGACCUGGAUAGCCCUUGACAGUUCUGCCCCUCUGGAACAAUGGAACUAUCAACCUGCAGGGUGAAGUUUGUAUGGGCUGGCGACAGGGAUUUCUCAGGGCCUACCCCACGACUGUGGAAUUCACUACUGUUGGACCAGAGAGCCUGAUUCACCAUUGCCCUGCACUUUUUGUAACUAUUUACACCAGUGCAAAUUUGGCUUAAAACACUAUCAUUCUGCUCUGGUACCAUUCUCACUUUGUACUCACUGCAGUCCUGUAAAUGACUACCUAUGGUGCUGGGUAAUGGUGAAUUAGACCCUAAAAGUAAACACAAACCUCAUUUCGUUCUGGUCCAAAUGUAAACCCCCCUUCUUUUAUCUAUCUAAAGUACUUGUAUGGCAUCCCUCACCAUAGUUUCCGAGCACCUCACAAUCUGUAACAUGUAACUCAA
Molecule: long non-coding RNA, 1874 nt
Organism: Trachemys scripta elegans
Lineage: Eukaryota; Metazoa; Chordata; Testudines; Emydidae
Exons: 4
Source: RefSeq, a predicted model, not a curated record